Molecule: ribosomal RNA, 253 nt
Filed under: uncultured bacterium
Lineage: Bacteria
Description: partial 16S ribosomal RNA
Rfam family: Bacterial small subunit ribosomal RNA
Source: RNAcentral
UACGGGGGGGGCAAGCGUUGUUCGGAAUUAUUGGGCGUAAAGAGCUCGUAGGCGGCUUGUCACGUCGGCUGUGAAAGCCCGGGGCUUAACCCCGGGUCGGCAGUGGAUACGGGCAGGCUAGAGGUAGGUAGGGGAGAAUGGAAUUCCCGGUGUAGCGGUGAAAUGCGCAGAUAUCGGGAGGAACACCGGUGGCGAAGGCGGUUCUCUGGGCCUUACCUGACGCUGAGGAGCGAAAGCGUGGGGAGCGAACAGG